This 303-nucleotide ribosomal RNA is filed under the name uncultured bacterium. Its description in RNAcentral is "partial 16S ribosomal RNA". It matches the Rfam family "Bacterial small subunit ribosomal RNA", at positions 507 to 807 of the family's 1533-position model. The record is from RNAcentral.
AGCAGUCGCCGCGGUAAUACAGAGGGUGCAAGCGUUAAUCGGAAUUACUGGGCGUAAAGCGCGCGUAGGUGGUUUGUUAAGUUGGAUGUGAAAGCCCCGGGCUCAACCUGGGAACUGCAUCCAAAACUGGCAAGCUAGAGUACGGUAGAGGGUGGUGGAAUUUCCUGUGUAGCGGUGAAAUGCGUAGAUAUAGGAAGGAACACCAGUGGCGAAGGCGACCACCUGGACUGAUACUGACACUGAGGUGCGAAAGCGUGGGGAGCAAACAGGAUUAGAUACCCGGGUAGUCCCUGUCUCUUAUAC